RNAcentral lists this long non-coding RNA (435 nucleotides) under Ursus maritimus (polar bear). Its description in RNAcentral is "lncRNA (ENSUMAG00000024062.1)". The record is from RNAcentral. Lineage: Eukaryota; Metazoa; Chordata; Mammalia; Carnivora; Ursidae.
AUGUCUAUAACUAGAUUAAAACACUUCUGCAUCACUCUGAAAAAGAGCUCUUCUCUGAGAAACAAUGAUGUUUUAAUGAGCAGCAGUAAACCAAGAUCAGGACAACAAGCAGAGAUGCUGGAGGGAGGAGCUGGAGAAAACAGGGCACACAGCAGGUGCUGCUAUCUCCCAGUGCAUGCAAGUCAGAGCCACAGUGUUCAUGUUGCAGGUCUUCCCAUAUCUGAGCUCUUGUGUUCAUGGUCCCCAUAUAGUCUCAGCACAUUGGAAUUUUAUAGUGAUUAUCACCGAAAAGAUAGUCUUACCAAGGAGAAAGCCAUCAAGGCAAGAAACCCAAUGGUCAUCUUGGUGUUCUUGUCAGUAUCUGUGAGAAAGAGAUUAUGUUAGAAUCUGCUUGACAAAAAUGCACCCAAGGUUUGUGGUUGAUGGUAAUUGAAC